GUUGAACGCUGGCGGCAUGCUUUACACAUGCAAGUCGAACGGCAGCGCGGGCUUCGGCCUGGCGGCGAGUGGCGAACGGGUGAGUAAUGCAUCGGAACGUGCCCAGUAGUGGGGGAUAGCCCGGCGAAAGCCGGAUUAAUACCGCAUACGACCUGAGGGUGAAAGCGGGGGACCGAAAGGCCUCGCGCUAUUGGAGCGGCCGAUGUCGGAUUAGCUAGUUGGUGGGGUAAAGGCUUACCAAGGCGACGAUCCGUAGCUGGUCUGAGAGGACGACCAGCCACACUGGGACUGAGACACGGCCCAGACUCCUACGGGAGGCAGCAGUGGGGAAUUUUGGACAAUGGGGGCAACCCUGAUCCAGCCAUGCCGCGUGCGAGAAGAAGGCCUUCGGGUUGUAAACCGCUUUUGUUCGGGAAGAAAUCCUCUGGGCUAAUACCCCGGGGGGAUGACGGUACCGGAAGAAUAAGCACCGGCUAACUACGUG
Molecule: ribosomal RNA, 484 nt
Filed under: uncultured bacterium
Lineage: Bacteria
Description: partial 16S ribosomal RNA
Rfam family: Bacterial small subunit ribosomal RNA
Source: RNAcentral